ACAAAACAAAACACGUUUUCGUUUUGUCUGCACCAACCUAAGAAAGAGCGAGCGCGCGCGAGAGCGAGAGAGAGGCAGAUGCACACUGCAAAAGCUGCUGUGCUCAGAAAUGGGCCUGCAGCCACUUCCCACUUUGGAAGCCUCGGCAAUAAUUCUCUCCCCUCAUUGCAUUCACCCUGCCCACUCCGGUACGGCUGCCAAGUCAGAGAGUUGGCACAGCUUCCCAGGCAGCGCGGAACAAAGCCGUCACCCAUCCCUGAACAGGCGCUGACAGUAAGCAAAGUGACAGGCACAUCUUCUGCAUGUUAAUCCAAACGGAGGGCACAGAGAGAGAGAGAGAGAAAGAAGCCAGCCCCCCCACCCCCGGCACCAUUCCUUUCUAACCAAAGCCUCAGUCGACCUCGUGCACGGUUCGGAAGGACCCCUUGAAAAAUAUAGCCGGCUGCACUGGGAAUUCAAAACGAUGAUAAUAAUAAUAUCGAGGAUUUAAAUAAAAACAAUCACCCGACCCACCGACACCCUGGCAAACGAGGCCGUUCGGCAUCUGCUGUACCUGUUCCCGCUGCCUUCAUCUCGCCUUGGAACCGUGACAAGAGAGAGAAGUCGCCUCUGGUGGGCUCUCAAAGCCUCGGGUCUGCAACCCUUUGCAGGAAGUUGGCACCGAUCCCAGGCCGCGGCAAAGAGGGGCGGGGGAGCGCUGCAUUUGCAAGCCUUCGCAGUUGUCUGUGGACUCUUGCAGCACAUCAGAAAAUGCUCCCAGGACAUUUUGCCUCCAUGACGAGGCAGGAGCGGGGAAAACACAAUCCCCAUCACCAGGUACAGAUCUGGCGGGACUUCGCCAUUCCCCUCCACCACAUCCACAGCCUGGGGAGAUGCAGCUGCCUUGGAUUCUCUUCCAUCUCCCAGCCACUGGUUUCCCCUCUACGGAGCAGCCUCAUCUCCUGGUUUCACUAAUGACAAAGACCUUUCCCAGGGGCUGGUGCCUUGUUAGACCUUAAAGACCUCAAAACACAGAACGUGGCCACCUGCGAGGUCGGCCUACGGAGGCUGCGCUCUGUCAGAAGAAGCAAUGGGACUGGGUAGGCAGAUUCCAGGAUGCCGUCAUAGCAAACAGACGCACACGGAGAGCUCUUCCUGCUGGGUCUCACCCAAGGCAGCUUGCAGGAGAGGACCCUCAUGUGAGCAAAUCUAAGGUUAUCUUGGCAGAAGUGGAGGCUGCUGUGGGGACUGAGACUCAGAAGUGGUUAAGCAGAAACGGGGCUGUGCAAGCACCACUGUCUCUCUAAAUGGACAGGGAAGUAGUUAGCACAUAGCAAGAGGUCAGUUAACAUGCUGUUAUAUUGUCCAUGGGACCCUGCUUCAACUUCCCUGCAUUUCAAGUGUUAUAGUGUGCAGCAGUCUCCCAUAGAGCAACACCUCAGUCAAGCAGAAUCCCCAGUACCAGAGGCCCGGCUCAGAGAUGCUCGUGGGAACAUGCAGGUUUGCUGCACUCGUUACAAACGAUGACCUGCAGCUUGACUGCAGCAGCUCAGGACCUCACAAUCACACCUGCCCCCACUACAAGAGCACAGACCCCCUUGCACUUGAGCUAACAGUGUUGCAGUCAGCAGGUUGCAGUCUCCAACAUACAUACAGGCAGAACUGACUCCAAUCGAGUGGGGCAGCAGUGCAGAGACACUGGCCGAUUUGCAACAACCAACCCUUUCAUGUCAAGCGUGAGACUCAAAACAGCCCUCUACAAGGAUCCAUUUGUUAAAGGGGGGAAAGUUAACCCUAACCCAAGUUACACUUUUGUGACCUCAUCUGCAAUUUCAGCUACCAGGCCAUUUUCCCAACCUCUUCUUCCUGACAGCUGGGAGCUGAUCAGCCCAAAGUCCUUUGGAUAAUCUCUCCUCAGCUCAAGGCGUCCGAUAACAGAUGUAUAGCAAGAGAAAGGGAGUGAACCACACCCUCCAGAUUGCCAUGUAAGAGGAGAUAGAGUAAAUAUUUGAAGGCUGGCUCAUUUCCUCACAAGCUAGGAAAGAGACAGAAGCAAACCGUCAAGGCAUGGGUUCUUUCGGGUAACUCGUUUUCUGUGUUGAGGUCAUAGUUUCAUAGUUUCUGGGGUCGGAGGGGACUUGAACAGAUCAUCAAGUCUGACCCCCUGCCCUGGGCAGGAAUGAGUGCUGGGAUCAUAAUACCCCAGCCAGAUAUCUAUCCAACCUCCUCUUAAAGACCCCCAAGGGGUCUGAGGAACUCUGCUUUAAGACAUGUAUAAAACAGAGAUAUCCCAACACUCUGGGGUAGCUCAGAUCCCCCACUUUGGAUAAUGGCUCUGUCCCCAAGCAGUAGGUUAGCUUAUCUAGUUAAGAAAAUAAAAUAAAUAAAUAAAAAUGGAUCUAAUUAACCACAAGCUGCAGGGCUACAGAACACUGUCUAGGAGUCCUGUGAGUAACAACGGUAGCACCAUAAGACUUUUAACAUUAACGGGUGUUAAUGAGGAACACAACAACGCAUUUCAAAUCAGAGACUGAUUUCUUUUGCAUUUAAGAGACAGUACCAUAGAGGAUUCAAGUAGCCAGCCCAUUUACUUUAGCAAACGGAUUCAAAUUUAUCAAUUUUAUUUUGCUCAACCUCAACCCUCUAUUAUCCAUGUCCAAUGGAGCAAGGCAAUUGGUUGCUGAAAAGCUGAAGAGAAGAAAAUCCGAGUUUACAUCAGCAGUUACUCUUCUUUGGAAAAAGAGG
Alligator mississippiensis (American alligator) is the source of this 2724-nucleotide long non-coding RNA. RefSeq lists it as uncharacterized. Lineage: Eukaryota; Metazoa; Chordata; Crocodylia; Alligatoridae. The transcript is spliced from 3 exons. The record is from RefSeq and is a predicted model, not a curated record.